RNAcentral lists this ribosomal RNA (374 nucleotides) under uncultured organism. Its description in RNAcentral is "bacterial SSU rRNA". It matches the Rfam family "Bacterial small subunit ribosomal RNA", at positions 526 to 896 of the family's 1533-position model. The record is from RNAcentral.
CGGGGGGAGCAAGCGUUGUUCGGAUUUACUGGGCGUAAAGGGCGCGUAGGCGGCCACCGCAAGUCGGUUGUGAAAUCUCCGGGCUUAACCCGGAAAGGUCAAUCGAUACUGCGGGGCUAGAGUGCGGAAGGGGCAACUGGAAUUCUCGGUGUAGCGGUGAAAUGCGUAGAUAUCGAGAGGAACACCUGCGGCGAAGGCGGGUUGCUGGGCUGACACUGACGCUGAAGCGCGAAAGCUAGGGGAGCGAACGGGAUUAGAUACCCCGGUAGUCCUAGCCUUAAACGAUGAAUGCUUGGUGUCUGGGGUUUUAUAGUCCCCGGGUGCCGUCGCUAACGCUUUAAGCAUUCCGCCUGGGGAGUACGGUCGCAAGACUG